Molecule: ribosomal RNA, 404 nt
Filed under: uncultured bacterium
Lineage: Bacteria
Description: bacterial SSU rRNA
Rfam family: Bacterial small subunit ribosomal RNA
Source: RNAcentral
GAGCGAACGUUAGCGGCACGCCUAACACAUGCAAGUCGCACGAGAAAGGGCUUCGGCCCCGGUAAAGUGGCGCACGGGUGCGUAACACGUAGGCAAUCUACCCUCAGGCGGGGGAUAACGUUCCGAAAGGAACGCUAAUACCGCGUAAGACCACAGCUACUUCGGUAGCAGCGGUCAAAGCUGGCCUCUUCAUGAAAGCUAGCGCCUGGGAAUGAGCCUGCGGCCCAUCAGCUAGUUGGUAAGGUAACGGCUUACCAAGGCAUAGACGGGUAGCUGGUCUGAGAGGAUGAUCAGCCACACUGGCACUGGAACACGGGCCAGACUCCUACGGGAGGCAGCAGUGGGGAAUCUUGGUCAAUGGGCGCAAGCCUGAACCAGCGAUGCCGCGUGAGUGAUGAAGGCCU